This 253-nucleotide ribosomal RNA is filed under the name uncultured bacterium. Its description in RNAcentral is "partial 16S ribosomal RNA". It matches the Rfam family "Bacterial small subunit ribosomal RNA", at positions 524 to 776 of the family's 1533-position model. The record is from RNAcentral.
UACGUAGGGGGCAAGCGUUGUCCGGAAUCAUUGGGCGUAAAGCGCGCGUAGGCGGCCCGGUAAGUCCGCUGUAAAAGUCCAGGGCUCAACCCUGGAAAGCCGGUGGAUACUGUCGGGCUAGAGUCCGGAAGAGGCGAGUGGAAUUCCUGGUGUAGCGGUGGAAUGCGCAGAUAUCAGGAGGAACACCGGUGGCGAAGGCGGAUCUCUGGGCCUUGCCUGGCGCUGAGGCGCGAAAGCUAGGGGAGCGAACAGG